RNAcentral lists this ribosomal RNA (555 nucleotides) under uncultured bacterium. RNAcentral describes it as "bacterial SSU rRNA". It matches the Rfam family "Archaeal small subunit ribosomal RNA", at positions 728 to 1276 of the family's 1478-position model. The record is from RNAcentral.
AAUAGAUACCCCGGUAGUCCUAGCCGUAAACGAUACUCGCUAGGUGUCGGCCACGGUGCGACCGUUGUCGGUGCCGUAGGGAAGCCGUGAAGCGAGCCACCUGGGGAAGUACGGCCGCAAGGCUGAAACUUAAAGGAAUUGACGGGGGAGCACCACAACGGGUGGAGCUUGCGGUUUAAUUGGAUUCAACGCCGGAAAUCUUACCGGGACCGACAGCAAUAUGAAGGCCAGGCUGAAGACUUUGCCGGAUUAGCUGAGAGGUGGUGCAUGGCCGUCGUCAGUUCGUACUGUGAAGCAUCCUGUUAAGUCAGGCAACGAGCGAGACCCACGCCCACAGUUGCCAGCGUACUCUCUGGAGUGACGGGUACACUGUGGGGACCGCCGCUGCUAAAGCGGAGGAAGGAAUGGGGCAACGGUAGGUCAGUAUGCCCCGAAUAUCCCGGGGCUACACGCGAGCUACAAUGGUUGGUACAAUGGGGUAUCUACCCCGGAAAGGGGACGGGAAUCUCCUAAAACCGAAUCUUAGUUCGGAUUGAGGGCUGCAACUCGCCCUCA